Molecule: ribosomal RNA, 253 nt
Filed under: uncultured bacterium
Lineage: Bacteria
Description: partial 16S ribosomal RNA
Rfam family: Bacterial small subunit ribosomal RNA
Source: RNAcentral
UACGGGGGGGGCAAGCGUUGUUCGGAAUUACUGGGCGUAAAGGGUUUGUAGGUGGCUUGUUAAGUCAGACGUGAAAUCCCUCAGCUUAACUGGGGAACUGCGUCUGAUACUGGCGAGCUUGAGUGCAGGAGAGGAACGCGGAAUUCCAGGUGUAGCGGUGAAAUGCGUAGAUAUCAGGAAGAACACCCGUGGCGAAGGCGGUUCUCUGGGACGGUACUGACGCUGAGACGCGAAAGCGUGGGGAGCGAACAGG